Ornithodoros turicata is the source of this 2646-nucleotide long non-coding RNA. RefSeq lists it as uncharacterized. The record is from RefSeq and is a predicted model, not a curated record. Lineage: Eukaryota; Metazoa; Arthropoda; Arachnida; Ixodida; Argasidae. The transcript is spliced from 3 exons.
GAGAUCCGAGGGAUCGUCCUCUGUUGACCGUGCUCUCACAAACGUGUGCUCACGAACUGCGGUUUCGAAAGUUGCCGGUUGGCGUUCUGCUGCGUAGCUGCAUCUUUGUAUCUUCGUCUCGGCUUCAGGCAGAAUGAAGAAAAACGUACAAGUGCAAGAAAUGGGCCGCUCCACGCCUGCAGCCUGUGUGGAACACCAGGGCAACCAUAUGAAUAUUAACAGCUAUUUAUUUCCUUGCUACGAUCCUGAGUGAAGGGUGACAUUCGAGACGUUUCAUACACCUUCAGACCACUUCCAGAGAAAACACUGUCAAAAAAGAAAGCGUCCGUCAGUGAAUAUAUUUCCUGGGCACCAAACAGUCUACGAAAUACAUGAGAGUCGAAGAGGAGCCAUGUGAGUGGAUCAGCAGCAAGGACGCUCUCUUUGUUCAUAAAACGAAAAGACUUCAAAGCAAUGAAGUUGGUUCUUACCUAGAUCGUACUUGUUGUGCUCACCAUCGUGAACGGGUGCAGGAAAACACAGAAAUGUAGCGACAAAUUUAUGAGCAGCACACUCAGUGCAGGUAGCUGAUGGCAACACAAGACAUUUCCUGCUAUUGUGAGCUGGCAGUGAGAACAUAUUAAGUAACUGUCUUAAAAAUUAUCAUCAGAAAUGUAGAGGAGUCGUGGUUGUUGUCGUGAGCUGAGCUGUGAGCUGUCGUUCUGAGUAUUCUGUCAUUGGUAUGUCUGGGCUUUCCAUUGCACUCGUUCGCCAUGCUGAUAAGCUGCAUGCACUAUAUUGUACUACCACUUUUGUGAUAUGCAGGAUGGCAGAGCAACAUGUUAUAUAAACAUUAUUGUGAUUGUUAUGUAUUUUAAAAGAUAAGGAAUUGCAUGAGGUAGCAAGAACUGUCUCAGCAGAAACGUGAAGAAACUGCUGCAGCUACAUACAGGAUGUCACAGUACCUAUGUUAAAGAUUUGUAACGAAGGCAUGCGGCCAAGAGUAUUUCGCUCCAUUAUGUCCCCACGGCCUUAUGUAGUGGGCUUCAUUUCUUAUGAGCUUUAUCAUGAUGAUCUUUGAGCAAGCAGCUCAGUAAGUUACCCAGUCAAGGCCACUUAAGGCCCUGUGCCAUGGAUCGAAAAAGAAAUCCUGAUGAAAUUACUCGACGUUGACUCAGGCAUAUCGAUCAUCACAAGCUUCGCAGAUAAAAAAAAAGACUGAAAAACUACAUGUUCCCCGUCUGACCUAUUGAGCAUGGUUUUGCUCCCCAUGCGACAAGAGGAGGUUCGCAAGCUGAGCCAAAGCAACUGCAGGAGCAGAGAACAACAGCAACAAAAUGUAAAGGAGAGAGGGUAAGAUGGGGGGUGUAAUUGGCGACAGAUAUAUUUGAUGCAGAUCAGCAUGCAGCAACCCUCUUAUCUGUGAUGCUGCCCUGCAAACUUUUUUAUAACCACCAGAUGUGUGCCCGUUACUCGAAAAAAGUAAUUGAUUACCGUUACCGUUACUUCUGUGGAAAAAGUAAUUGAUUACCAUUACCAAUUACUCGACUUCAAAUGUAAUUGAGUAACGAGUAGAAAAGUAACGCGUUACUUCGGUCGUUACUCUGCAUUCACGCAAAUUAUAACCGUCUUCCUGUGCCUCAGAAAAAAAGAAAAAAAAAAGGUUCAACAGCGGAACAGCUGAAAUAACAAGACAAACAAAAACACGUAGGACAAGGAGAUCUGUACGCCCGGGAAGACGUUGACCCGAUUGUGGAAGAACAUUGCGUGGUACUUCCCUAUGACUCACUAAACCCCCAAAGCUUCAGGUACCAUCACACUGGUGUAGCAAGAGAUUAGGGAGAGAGACUCUGAAAUUCCAGAGCGUUAUUACAAUGACCUCCGCUUGCUAUAGUAGAACGGCCCAACAAAGGCAGAUGGCACCAGGGGCUUGACUUGGGGCAGAACAUCUCAAAGAUAAGCUAAUCCCUGCCGGAAAAGUAAUCAAUUGCUGAGUAAUCGAUUACUCAGAAAAGUAAUUGAUUACUCGAAAAAUUACUUUGACAGUAAAGUAACUGAUUACUCGACAAAUUACUCAAAAAUGUAAUUGAUUACAAGUAACGCAAUUACUAGUAACGUGUUACGCACAAGUCUGGUUAUUAACCACUUUCCCCCCUAGGUUUGUGUAGAGUUACUCACAACCCCUCUCUAAGCACGGAUGGAGUGAAGGCAUGCUGAAUUCCCUAUGUACGGAACUGUAGAGGUGCCACAAGGCAUCAUUUUCUGGGUAUCUUUGUCACUGUACUUGGUUCAUGAAUUACGAUCAGACUCGUGACAAAAUGGAGUAAUGUUUAGAUGGGCUUCUCUUUGGUGCCAUGCAAAUGUAGUCUUAACUAGGGAAAUUUCGUUUUUGAUAAAUCGUGUGAUGAUAAACUUCAGAACAAAUUAAUCCUUUAAUUUAAUCCAAAUAAUUAAAAUUAAUCCAAAAUGCGAUCAAAUACGAAUGACUGCAUGUGUCUACCUAGCGACUUUUCUUGUUGUUUUCUGAUAUGGGUGCCUGCCAUCUUACAGUGUUGCAGCUUUUUCUUCAUGUUUAUGCCGUGGCCAUUUUACAAUAUCUUUCCUUAUCGUUUAAGACGGGUAACAGUAUCAAAAAUUAGGCUUCUGCAUUGCCUUUGUGGUUUUGUU